Molecule: long non-coding RNA, 494 nt
Organism: Sebastes umbrosus (honeycomb rockfish)
Lineage: Eukaryota; Metazoa; Chordata; Actinopteri; Perciformes; Sebastidae
Exons: 2
Source: RefSeq, a predicted model, not a curated record
UCAUGUCUAUGUAGAGCGAGCACAAGCGCGAGCAAAAGGGCGCGGACUUUCGUUGACUUAACGGCCACAGGUGUCGCUGUUAACAAGACAUUUCUGAUUCUUACAAACAGUCCCUUUAAAGAAAUAAUCAAACAAACUAUUUACACAACUGGAUAAUAAAUGUUGAACUGAUGUUUCUAUUGUGUGUGUGUGUGUGUGUGUGUGUGUGUGUGUGUGCAUAGGGGAUCAUCACUGGAUGCUGCUGAUUGAUUAGCAGUAUUGACUAUCUGUUAUCUCAAGGUAUAUAUCAUCAUAUUGACAGACCUGAGUGUACGUGGAUGUGUGUGUGUGUCUAUCAUAGAAAUAUUUCUAUGGUGUCUAUAUCUGUAAAUUAACGUUUGUGUUACCACUAAGCAGAAAACCCCAACAGCAGAAGCAUCAAACUGUAACUAUGGUGGAUUUAUUGUUUAGUCUUUAUUAUGUAUGAAGAGUUCUGUGAUGCUUUCAUUGUUUUA